CUCUUUCUCGAUUCAGUGGAUGGUGGUGCAUGGCCGUUCUUAGUUGGUGGAGUGAUCUGUCUGGUUAAUUCCGAUAACGAACGAGACUCUCCCCUGCUAACUAGUCGGUUGGAUCUUGAUCAGUGGGUUGAGUGCCGAGUAACUCUCGCCGUGCGUGCUGUGCGUUUCGUUCCUCACGGUUCGUUGCGUGCGCAUGUGUGGUGUUGGAUGCCUUGGAUCACACUGCACCCCAAGUCCGCCGCUUUGCUAUAACUCUUCUUAGAGGGAUUCACGGCACUGAAGCCGUAAGAGACUGAGAGCAAUAACAGGUCUGUGAUGCCCUUAGAUGCUCUGGGCCGCACGCGCGCUACAAUGCCGGGCACAGCAGGUGUUUCUCCUGCUCCGACAGGAGCGGGUAACCCUCUGAAAGCCAGUGUUCUUGCAAGUGCUUCCUCCCUCGUGGAGUUGCACAGAGGCGUGCUUGGGCCUGGGACUUGCAAUUCUUUCCCACCAACGAGGAAUGCCUAGUAGCGGCGGGUCACUGAGCCCGCUGUGACUCAGUCCCUGCCCUUUGUACACACCGCCCGUCGCUACUACCGAUUGGGUGUACCAGUGAGAGCCUUGGACUGGCGUCCGUUGUUGCUCGCAAGAGUGACAAGCGGGUCCGACGGAAAGAGGUCCGAACUGGUGCACUUAGAGGAAGUAAAAGUCGUAACAAGGUUUCCGUAGGUGAACCUGCGGAAGGAU
RNAcentral lists this ribosomal RNA (726 nucleotides) under Odontogammarus calcaratus. Its description in RNAcentral is "bacterial SSU rRNA". It matches the Rfam family "Eukaryotic small subunit ribosomal RNA", at positions 1255 to 1826 of the family's 1831-position model. The record is from RNAcentral. Lineage: Eukaryota; Metazoa; Arthropoda; Malacostraca; Amphipoda; Eulimnogammaridae.